Molecule: ribosomal RNA, 486 nt
Filed under: uncultured bacterium
Lineage: Bacteria
Description: partial 16S ribosomal RNA
Rfam family: Bacterial small subunit ribosomal RNA
Source: RNAcentral
GACGAACGCUGGCGGCGUGCUUAACACAUGCAAGUCGAACGCUGAAGACCUGGCUUUUGUUGGGUUGGAUGAGUGGCGAACGGGUGAGUAACACGUGAGUAACCUGCCCUCUUCUUUGGGAUAACGCCCGGAAACGGGUGCUAAUACUGGAUAUUCACUGAUCUUCGCAUGGGGGUUGGUGGAAAGGGUUGUUCUGGUGGGGGAUGGGCUCGCGGCCUAUCAGCUUGUUGGUGGGGUGAUGGCCUACCAAGGCUUUUACGGGUAGCAGGACUGAGGGGGUGACCGGUCACAUUGGGACUGGGAUACGGCCCAGACUCCUACGGGGGGCAGCAGUGGGGAAUAUUGCACAAUGGGCGAAAGCCUGAUGCAGCGACGCCGCGUGAGGGAUGGAGGCCUUCGGGUUGUAAACCUCUUUCGCUCAUGGUCAAGCCGCAACUGUGGGUUGUGGUGAGGGUAGUGGGUAAAGAAGCGCCGGCUAACUACGUG